AAUUCGGAACGGAUAAACGCUGAAGGCAUCUAAGCGUGAAGCCGCCCUCAAGAUGAGAUUUCCCAUUCAGAGAUGAAGUAAGGCCCCUUGGAGAACACAAGGUUGAUAGGCGGGAGGUGUAAGCGCCGGGAGGCGUUAAGCUGACCCGUACUAAUAGGCCGAGGGCUUGACCUU
RNAcentral lists this ribosomal RNA (174 nucleotides) under Clostridiales bacterium. RNAcentral describes it as "partial 23S ribosomal RNA". It matches the Rfam family "Bacterial large subunit ribosomal RNA", at positions 2752 to 2925 of the family's 2925-position model. The record is from RNAcentral. Lineage: Bacteria; Bacillati; Bacillota; Clostridia; Eubacteriales.